RNAcentral lists this ribosomal RNA (751 nucleotides) under Vreelandella venusta. Its description in RNAcentral is "bacterial SSU rRNA". It matches the Rfam family "Bacterial small subunit ribosomal RNA", at positions 387 to 1130 of the family's 1533-position model. The record is from RNAcentral. Lineage: Bacteria; Pseudomonadati; Pseudomonadota; Gammaproteobacteria; Oceanospirillales; Halomonadaceae.
UCCAGCCAUGCCGCGUGUGUGAAGAAGGCCCUCGGGUUGUAAAGCACUUUCAGCGAGGAAGAACGCCUAGUGGUUAAUACCCAUUAGGAAAGACAUCACUCGCAGAAGAAGCACCGGCUAACUCCGUGCCAGCAGCCGCGGUAAUACGGAGGGUGCAAGCGUUAAUCGGAAUUACUGGGCGUAAAGCGCGCGUAGGUGGCUUGAUAAGCCGGUUGUGAAAGCCCCGGGCUCAACCUGGGAACGGCAUCCGGAACUGUCAAGCUAGAGUGCAGGAGAGGAAGGUAGAAUUCCCGGUGUAGCGGUGAAAUGCGUAGAGAUCGGGAGGAAUACCAGUGGCGAAGGCGGCCUUCUGGACUGACACUGACACUGAGGUGCGAAAGCGUGGGUAGCAAACAGGAUUAGAUACCCUGGUAGUCCACGCCGUAAACGAUGUCGACCAGCCGUUGGGUGCCUAGCGCACUUUGUGGCGAAGUUAACGCGAUAAGUCGACCGCCUGGGGAGUACGGCCGCAAGGUUAAAACUCAAAUGAAUUGACGGGGGCCCGCACAAGCGGUGGAGCAUGUGGUUUAAUUCGAUGCAACGCGAAGAACCUUACCUACUCUUGACAUCCUGCGAACUUGUGAGAGAUCACUUGGUGCCUUCGGGAACGCAGAGACAGGUGCUGCAUGGCUGUCGUCAGCUCGUGUUGUGAAAUGUUGGGUUAAGUCCCGUAACGAGCGCAACCCUUGUCCUUAUUUGCCAGCGCGUAAUG